Small nucleolar RNA from Tupaia belangeri (northern tree shrew), 66 nucleotides. Its record names the gene SNORD58. It matches the Rfam family "Small nucleolar RNA SNORD58". From Rfam's summary of the family: snoRNA U58 is found in introns 1, 3 and 6 of the ribosomal protein RPL17 gene in humans. NCBI's taxonomy places the organism in Eukaryota, Metazoa, Chordata, Mammalia, Scandentia, Tupaiidae. The record is from Ensembl.
CUGCAAUAAUGGCACUUCUUAAGAUACAUUUGAAAUCAUCAUGAAAACAACUACUCUCUGAGUAGC